Molecule: ribosomal RNA, 523 nt
Filed under: Metacampanella tricolor
Lineage: Eukaryota; Fungi; Basidiomycota; Agaricomycetes; Agaricales; Campanellaceae
Description: SSU rRNA
Rfam family: Bacterial small subunit ribosomal RNA
Source: RNAcentral
UCGCAAGAGUGAACUAGCUAACUGAAAUCAUAGAAUUUUUUAAAAUUCAUGAUGUCGUAAGGGAAAAUAAUGAUAAUACCUUACUAUGAGUGUCGUCCAAAUCUGGUGCCAGAAGACUCGGUAAGACCAGAGACGCAAACGUUAAUCAUCAUAAACAGGCGUAAAGGGUUUGUAGGCAGCUUUCACCAAACUAUGAUUACAAAAUAAAGUAGUUUAAUUGAAAGCUAGAAUCAAAAAGAGGUUAUAGUGUAUAACGCCUAGAGGAGGGCUGAUAUCCAUAGAUCCUAGGCAGAAUACUCAGGGCGAAGGCCACUCUCCACUACUGAUUGACGCUGAGAAACGAAGGUUAGGGUAGGAAAUAGGAUUAGAUACCCCGGUACUCCUUUCUGUAAACGAUGAAUGGUAGUCAUUAGUUUUAUAACUAGAGACGAAGUUAACACAAUAACCAUUCCGCCUUGUGAGUACUACUGCAAAGUAGAAAACAAAAAAAUUAGUCGGUCUCGAAGCAAACGGAGUGAAGCAU